RNAcentral lists this ribosomal RNA (411 nucleotides) under Clostridioides difficile. Its description in RNAcentral is "bacterial SSU rRNA". It matches the Rfam family "Bacterial small subunit ribosomal RNA", at positions 62 to 500 of the family's 1533-position model. The record is from RNAcentral. Lineage: Bacteria; Bacillati; Bacillota; Clostridia; Peptostreptococcales; Peptostreptococcaceae.
UUGAGCGAUUUACUUCGGUAAAGAGCGGCGGACGGGUGAGUAACGCGUGGGUAACCUACCCUGUACACACGGAUAACAUACCGAAAGGUAUGCUAAUACGGGAUAAUAUAUUUGAGAGGCAUCUCUUGAAUAUCAAAGGUGAGCCAGUACAGGAUGGACCCGCGUCUGAUUAGUUAGUUGGUAAGGUAACGGCUUACCAAGGCGACGAUCAGUAGCCGACCUGAGAGGGUGAUCGGCCACAUUGGAACUGAGACACGGUCCAAACUCCUACGGGAGGCAGCAGUGGGGAAUAUUGCACAAUGGGCGAAAGCCUGAUGCAGCAACGCCGCGUGAGUGAUGAAGGCCUUCGGGUCGUAAAACUCUGUCCUCAAGGAAGAUAAUGACGGUACUUGAGGAGGAAGCCCCGGCUAA